CAGUCGCCGCGGGAAUACGAAGGGGGCUAGCGUUGUUCGGAUUUACUGGGCGUAAAGCGCACGUAGGCGGAUCGAUCAGUCAGGGGUGAAAUCCUGGAGCUCAACUCCAGAACUGCCUUUGAUACUGUCGAUCUCGAGUCCGGAAGAGGUGAGUGGAACUCCUAGUGUAGAGGUGGAAUUCGUAGAUAUUAGGAAGAACACCAGUGGCGAAGGCGGCUCACUGGUCCGGUACUGACGCUGAGGUGCGAAAGCGUGCGGAGCAAACAGGAUUAGAUACCCGUGUAGUCCCUGUCUCUUAUAU
This 301-nucleotide ribosomal RNA is filed under the name uncultured bacterium. Its description in RNAcentral is "partial 16S ribosomal RNA". It matches the Rfam family "Bacterial small subunit ribosomal RNA", at positions 509 to 809 of the family's 1533-position model. The record is from RNAcentral.